This 1213-nucleotide ribosomal RNA is filed under the name uncultured bacterium. RNAcentral's name for it is "bacterial SSU rRNA". It matches the Rfam family "Bacterial small subunit ribosomal RNA", at positions 186 to 1399 of the family's 1533-position model. The record is from RNAcentral.
UGGCAUCAGCAAAUGAUCAAAUAUUUAUAGGAUUAAGAUGGGCAUGCGUGACAUUAGCUAGUCGGUAAGGUAACGGCUUACCAAGGCUACGAUGUCUAGGGGAUCUGAGAGGAUGACCCCCCACACUGGUACUGAGACACGGACCAGACUCCUACGGGAGGCAGCAGUAAGGAAUAUUGGUCAAUGGGGGCAACCCUGAACCAGCCAUGCCGCGUGCAGGAAGACGGCCCUACGGGUUGUAAACUGCUUUUAUACGGGAAUAAACCUCUUUACGUGUAGAGAGUUGAAUGUACUGUAAGAAUAAGGAUCGGCUAACUCCGUGCCAGCAGCCGCGGUAAUACGGAGGAUCCAAGCGUUAUCCGGAUUUAUUGGGUUUAAAGGGUGCGUAGGCGGCCUAUUAAGUCAGGGGUGAAAGACGGUGGCUCAACCAUCGCAGUGCCCUUGAUACUGAUGGGCUUGAUUACACUAGAGGUAGGCGGAAUGUGACAAGUAGCGGUGAAAUGCAUAGAUAUGUCACAGAACACCAAUUGCGAAGGCAGCUUACUAUGGUGUCAAUGACGCUGAGGCACGAAAGCGUGGGGAUCAAACAGGCUUAGAUACCCUGGUAGUCCACGCCCUAAACGAUAAAGGCUCGAUGUUAGCGAUAUACAAUUAAGCGUCAAAAGCGAAAGCGUUAAGUAUUUCCCCUGGGGAGUACGCCCGCAAGGGUGAAACUCAAAGGAAUAGAAGGGGGGCCCGCACAAGCGGAGGAGCAUGUGGUUUAAUUCGAUGAUACGCGAGGAGCCUUACCCGGGCUUGAAAGUUACUGAAGUAUCCAGAGAUGGAUGCGUCCGCAAGGACAGGAAACUAGGUGCUGCAUGGCUGUCAUCAGCUCGUGCCGUGAGGUGUUGGGUUAAGUCCCGCAACGAGCGCAACCCCUAUGUUUAGUUGCCAGCAUGUAAUGGUGGGGACUCUAAACAGACUGCCUGUGCAAACAGAGAGGAAGGAGGGGAGGACGCCAAGUCAUCAUGGCCCUUACGUCCGGGGCUACACACGUGCUACAAUGGGCAGUACAGAGGGCAGCUACCUGGUAACAGGAUGCCAAUCUCAAAAAGCUGUUCACAGAUAAGAUAGAGGUCUGCAACUCGACCUCUUGAAGUUGGAUUCGCUAGUAAUCGCAUAUCAGCAAUGAUGCGGUGAAAAAGUUCCCGGGCCUUGCACUCUCCGCCCGUCA